RNAcentral lists this small RNA (124 nucleotides) under Marmota monax (woodchuck). The record is from RNAcentral. Lineage: Eukaryota; Metazoa; Chordata; Mammalia; Rodentia; Sciuridae.
GCCAGGCGUGGUUCGCAUGCCUGUAAUCCCAGCAGCUCUGGAGGCUGAGGCAGGAGGAUCGCAAGUUCAAAGCCAGCCUCAGCAACAGCCAGAUGCUAAGCAAACUAGUGAGACCCUGUCUCAA